This 395-nucleotide ribosomal RNA is filed under the name uncultured bacterium. Its description in RNAcentral is "bacterial SSU rRNA". It matches the Rfam family "Bacterial small subunit ribosomal RNA", at positions 122 to 507 of the family's 1533-position model. The record is from RNAcentral.
AAACCUACCUCUUAGCAGGGGAUAACAUUUGGAAACAAUGCUAAUACCGUAUAAUAAUUAAAACCGCAUGGUUUUAGUUAAAGAUGGUCUUGCUAUCACUAAGAGAUGGUCCCGCGGUGUAUUAGUUAGUUGGUGAGGUAAUGGCUCACCAAGACAAUGAUACAUAGCCGAGUUGAGAGACUGACCGGCCACAAUGGGACUGAGACACGGCCCAUACUCCUACGGGAGGCAGCAGUAGGGGAUCUUCCACAAUGGACGAAAGUCUGAUGGAGCAACGCCGCGUGUGUGAUGAAGGGUUUCGGCUCGUAAAACACUGUUGUAAGAGAAGAAUGACAUUGAGAGUAACUGUUCAAUGUGUGACGGUAUCUUACCAGAAAGGAACGGCUAAAUACGUG